This 486-nucleotide ribosomal RNA is filed under the name uncultured bacterium. Its description in RNAcentral is "bacterial SSU rRNA". It matches the Rfam family "Bacterial small subunit ribosomal RNA", at positions 28 to 507 of the family's 1533-position model. The record is from RNAcentral.
GACGAACGCGUGGCGGCGUGGAUUAGGCAUGCAAGUCGAACGGUAUCAUCCUUCGGGGUGAGAGAGUGGCGAACUGGUGAGUAACACGUAAGUUAUCUACCCUCAAGACGGGGACAACCCAGGGAAACUUGGGCUAAUACCGGAUGUGAGCAACUUUUUAGUGUUUGAAAGGUGGCGUAAGCUGUCGCUUGGGGAUGAGCCUGCGUCCUAUUAGUUAGUUGGUGAGGUAACGGCUCACCUAGGCAAUGAUAGGUAGGCGGCCUUAACGGGUGGUCGCCCACACUGGGAUUGAGAUACGGCCCAGACUCCUACGGGAGGCAGCAGUCGAGAAUAGUCUACAAUGGUCGGAAGACUGAUAGUGCGACGCCGCGUGAACGAUGAAUCCCUUCGGGGUGUAAAGUUCUUUUAUAUGUGAGCAGUGCUUCUUAUAUUAACAGUAUGGGGAGAGAGAUAUUAGCAUAUGAAUAAGCAACGGCUAACUCCGUG